This 107-nucleotide small RNA is filed under the name uncultured Prevotella sp. RNAcentral's name for it is "RT-5 RNA". It matches the Rfam family "RT-5 RNA". From Rfam's summary of the family: Clostridium (Firmicutes). Environment (Cow rumen (57)) The record is from RNAcentral. Lineage: Bacteria; Pseudomonadati; Bacteroidota; Bacteroidia; Bacteroidales; Prevotellaceae.
AGCGCCUGCGAAGGACGAAGCGGUGCCCCCAUCGGAAUUGAAGGUCUUGCAGGCGACCGGGCACCGUACCGUCACGUGAUAGCAAACUUUUGCUAUUCAAAACCGUU